RNAcentral lists this ribosomal RNA (405 nucleotides) under uncultured bacterium. Its description in RNAcentral is "partial 16S ribosomal RNA". It matches the Rfam family "Bacterial small subunit ribosomal RNA", at positions 28 to 526 of the family's 1533-position model. The record is from RNAcentral.
GACGAACGCUGGCGGCGUGCUUAACACAUGCAAGUCGAGCGGAGCGGCGAACGGGUGAGUAACGCGUGAGUAACUGCCCCCCUCUCUGGGAUAACAGUUGGAAACGGCUGCUAAUACCGGAUAGUGGGGGGUGACUCGGGGCCUAUCAGCUUGUUGGUGGGGUAUUGGCCUACCAAGGCGACGACGGGUAGCCGGCCUGAGCGGGGGACCAGCCCCCAUGGUCUGAGGUACGGCCCAAACUCCAACGGGAGGCAGCAGUGGGAAGUAUUGCCCAAUGGGGGAAAGCCUGAUGCAGCAGCGCCGGGUGCGUGAUGCCCGGCUUCGGGUUGUAAACCGCUUUCAGCCAUGACGCGGUAGUGGCAGAAGAAGCACCGGCUAACUACGUGCCAGCAGCCGCGGUAAUAC